UCAUGAAAAGUCAAAAAGAAAAUAAAUUAAAACUACUUCUAAACUACGAUGGUUUUUUGAAGGUGUCUAGGAUGACUUAAUUACAUUCAACCCUUAAUUUCUUAUUUAUAGAGGUGUUGGUUGCCCAAAUUAGGUCUUCGGCAAGUCUUAGAUCUUCGAAUAAGUUUGAUUGCAUGGACAAAAAUAUCCCUGAAGUACUUGGACAGCAUGUCAACCUUAUGUCAUGCCACGCCCCCUUGUCUCGUUCAUUUGGUGCUUUGACAUCCCGGGAAGCUUGUGUAUCACUCCACCUUUGCUUCCACGUCAAUUGGCCUUUAUAUAUCUAUCCUACACACUCAAUUAAACCAAUUAGCACAACCUAAGGCUUAUGUUGGCCUAUUGGGUUACAACACCUAUAAAAUGUGUUAAAAACACUUAUUUUUAUUAACUUUUAGUCCUAAGGUAUAAAUACUAAAAAUGUAAAUUACAAUCCUAAUUUGCUUAUUAAACAAGCUCUAUAUCGCUUUUGAAAAGUGUUUUCGAACUGUGCUUUUGCUUUCGGAGCCAAAUGACAUUUUUAAUACUUAUUUAUAAUCCAAUAUAAUUUAUGUAAUAUUUCUAUUAGGUAUACAAUUAUUUUCCUAUUGAAAUUUAUUUCAAACAUAUAAUAUUAUAUAUUUAAAUAUGUAAUGGUUAUAUUUUAAUAAUAUUUAAUACAUAGAUUAUAUCUUAAAAUUAAAUUUUAGAAAUAAUUAAUAUUAAUUAAUUAUAAAUAUUUAAAAUUUAUGUUUCAUAUAUCAAAAUAUUAAUAAUAAGUUACAAUAAAUUAUUUUUUGUAUUCUUGUUAAAAUAUCAUAAUAUUAACAAAUUUAAACAUUAUUUAAAAGCAUAUUUUUACUUCACAACAUCAUGUCUAAAAUAGAUAUUUUAUUUCUCAAAAAAUACUUUUUGAAAGCAAUACCAAACACUUAAAUCUUAAACUAAAUUUUUCAAAAGCAAUGAGAAACUAACCUUUACUCUCAUUAGUGGUUAAGUUUAAACUUUCCUUUCAAAAUGAAUAAUCAAGGUCAAUGCACACAAGAUGUAGAAUGACAACCUUUUCCAUUUCUUUAGUUGUCACCACUCAAAUAAGGAGCCUUAUUCUUUGUUAUCUACAUAGUUGGUUAAAGUGUAUAUAUAUCAAAAAGCAUGCUUAGUAAAUAAUUUUGAAGAACAAUCCAUAAAAAAAUUGAGUUUACUAAUGUAAAAUUGCAUGAUUAAUAGUAAAUAAGUUGGCAUAUAAUGACAUCAACCUGCUCACAAAAAUAUCACAUAGUAUGAUUUACUUUCCUUUAUUGAUGAAACUAGAAAUUAUUCAUAUUUCACGAUGCUUGUGGGCUAAUUAAGAAACAAAGUAAGCAUCUAUUUCAUUCUAAUUAACCAAUAAACUAGAAUCAUCCACUAUGGGUAAAAUGACUAUAUUAAUAUGAUUAACUACAAUUAUGUCAUUUAUCUCAUGAUCACAAGAUCUUUAGAAUAUCACUACUUAAUGCAUAUGCUUUUCAUAAUUUAGAUAUUGUGGCUAAUUCUAAAUUACUUAAGCAUGCAUGAUCAUAUAACACAAAACAUUGCAUAAUACUAUAAUUUAGCGAGUAAAUUCACACAAAACACCAACUUAUGCAUAAUGUGAAUAUAAAAAAAUCACACGAGCCUUAAAAUGUUUGAAAACACCAUACAUGUUCUCUCAUGACUAUAAAAAAUCUUGCAUGAACCUUUACACAUCAAAAUGAGGCCUAUAUGCACCUUCAUAUGCCGCCAACCUCCUUCACACACUUUUACAGGUCAAUCAAACUUUGACCAAUUAUAUGUCAAUGUUUAACUAUUAAAUUUGACUUUGAUUGGUUUGAUUUUCCUCUUAACCUAGUUUGAUUAGUUUGAUCAUUGAUCUUAGAUGAUUCAAGCUAACUUGAUUCUUCAAACUUGAUCAAUUUGGUUUACUAUGCUUUCUUGAUGGGUUGGCUUUAUUGGGAUUUAUGGAUUAGGUUUUCUUAUUGGUGUUAUGCACCCUUUAUUAAAUGGAUAAUGGGCUAAUUCUUCAUGGGUUGGAUUAGAGUGUCUCAAAAUAAUGGAUGCUUUAUUAGAUUUUCCAUUUGGGUGGAAAAUAAGUUAGGUGAUGAGUUGUAGUUUGAUAUAUGUAAAUAUGAUUAUUUCAUGCUCACUUUAGUGUGUUUUCAAGUAGAAUCGAGCCUUUUAAGUACUUAAUACUUUUUGUAUUGAAUUUAGGUUUUGUUGUGUUCUUAUGUUUAAUAUAGUGUUUUUAAUGUUGUUUUGGUUUUAAGAAGAAAAUGGUGAUUGAUAAGUGUUAAAUUGUUAUGUAGGUGAACCAAGAUACCGAAUGGACUCAAGUGGCUGAACAGAGGACAACGUCGAGAUGAAGGGAUUUUUGAGGUCAUGACAUUGUGCAAAGUGAGCAUGGUAGAAGGAUUCGACAGUGAGUCAUGUCGCGACGUGGGAUAACUUAAUGCUGCGACGUGCCUACGCUGAGGUCAAGACGUUGACAAGAACCUACGAGAAAUUGUUUGUCAACGUCACGACGCUGCGAUAGAGGAAAUUGCAACAUUGCCCUAUAGACUUAGAUGUGGAGAUGAUUAUCAAAGUAAUUUUGGGGUCAUUUUGAAUUUUUAGUCUUUGUAAAGUGACUUUUUACUAAGGGUAAAAGGGUUCUUUGGUUCAUUACUAUAUAAACUUUUUUUCUAUAAGAUUUUUAAUAUAUAAAGAGAACUAGAGUAUAUGAGAUUUGUAAAGAGUGUUUUAAAAUGUUUUUAGAUUUCUUUGUAGAGAUUUAAUAGAGAGUUAGUUUGUCAUAGCUUUGUAUUCUUUCUUAUUGAUGGUAAUGUAAAUGGAGCUCAAGUAAGUUUCAGCUGUGGAAUUGGAGUCUUUUCCAUUAAUGAGCAUUCCUAACUCUUUUUUUUAUUCAUUUUUUUUAUCAAUUGAAUGUUAAAAUGGUUACUUAUACUUUGAACUUCAUGUUUUUCUAAAUUCUCUUAAUGGCUACUUAUGAUGCUAGUUGCUAAUCGAGGUUGAUAAGCAUGUUCUUGAUUAUUUGAUUGUUCAAUUGUGCCAAAUUGCUUAGUAAACUAGAAUUGAUACUUCUAGUGGAAAACCUAGAAAGAUGGGAUUGAGAGGAGAUUUUAUCAUGUAGAAUUUUGAUAUAAUUGUGAUGAAUAGCGGGACAAAAAGUGUAACCUAUGAACUAGGUGAGUCUGAGAGGAGAUCCUAGGUGGUAAUUCUAAUGUUAAAAUGAGACUAAGAGGAAUUUCUACUUAGAGUGACAAACAAUGUAAUUGGGGUAUGUACAUUAGCUUCGUAAAUAGCUAGUUUACCAAUUGAUCAUCACUUUGAUUAUUUUCAUAGUCUAAGAUAAGAAAGAGGUAAGGUAGGUUAGUAUGCUUAAUUCACAAGAUAGGUUAGUUCUUUUAUGAUUUCCAAUCGAUUUGCAUUAAUAAUCUUUGAAUCGAGUAGACUAGUAGUUACCUUGUGAGUAGGAUAAUCGAUUAGCACAUCCCCUUAUAAAUCCUUGUGAGUAGGAUAAUCCUUAUCAAUUCUUAACACUACUUACUUAAGUGUUCCAUUGUAACUACUAUAUUAGAAUUUGGCACAAUCAUGCUUGCGAUAAUGCCAUGUCUACACUAGUGAUAUUAUUGAUUUUAUUUGGUACGUUUUUUUACUAAGUGUGCUAAGGUGGAUGAUUAAGAAAACUUAAAUUUUGACUUUUCUUUUUUCUAAACAAUAUAAAUUUCUAGAAUAUCAAACAUUGAAAUGAUUGAAUUUUUCCUGUAAUGGUAGAAAAAGCCCAAUACUACAAAAAGAAGAAGAAGAAGAAGAAGAAGAAGAUAUCAUCAAAUCUCACAAUAACCAUCAUAAAACAAAACUAAUAGACAAAUUUUAGCAUGAAAUUUCUAAAUUCUCAAAGAAAUUAUAAGCCUUAAGCAUGUUUCAAUUUUAAAAAUAAAAAUUGCAUAAUGCAUAAUCCACAAAAAUUUAAAGGUAUAAUGGUAAAUUUGACCCUCAACCUUUUAAAAAUAGUCGAAUUUAACCAUCAACCUUUUAAAAAGAGUCUAAUUUCUAUAUUUUUUAAUGAAAAUACUAACUAAAAUAUUAAAUUUUUAAACAUGACAACCUGCAUGGCAAUCAACGUGUGCUUUAUGCUACUUUUUUUAAUUAUGAUUUUUUUGAAUUUUGAAUUUAGUUAUUUUUUGAAUAUUUUAUAAUUUUUAAAUCAUGUAAUGGCCAAUUUUUGGCCCAGACAAAUAAAACAAUAACAAAACCCAAAACAAUAAAAAAGAGCCCAAAUAACAACCCACUAAUCUUAAGAAUUUUUAGCAGCCAACCCUAGCCCCAAGCCUCCAGCCGCCGCUCCCCACGUGCUCGGGCAACAUGUUCAACGCUCGGCCACCACACCCCGCGCAUGCCCUCCUCCUCAAUGCACCUGACACUCCCAUAACCUACAAACAUUUGGAAAAGAGGAAAAGAUGGCAAGAAGAAGCACAAGCAGUAGCAGAGAAUAAAACAAACAAUAUUUUAAUAUGGGAAUCGGCUAUAAAGCCGAAAUGAAACUGAUUUUAAAUGGGGAUUUCGAUAUUCAAAAAUUGUAUUACGCAUGUUAAGCAAUCAAAAACAAAAAACAAGCAAAAAGGUUGAGAUUAAUCUCCUGUUUCGUUUUCUAUUGUUUUCUAGUUUCUGUUAUUUCAUUUAUAUUUAUUAUUAUUAUUUCUUAUUUUCUUUUACAAAUCUAUUAAACAAAACGAAUAAAAAGAAAAAGGAAGAGAAGAAAGCCUCACCGGAAACGCCUGUGGCUUCACCGUCGGAGAUUUCUCCUCCAUCGUCGGGGCUGAAAAGGGGUGGGGGAUCCUUUCUUUCGUUUCUUUUCGAUUAAAAGGGCUAGGCUCAUGAACUUCUUUUGGAACGCGACCUUUCGGAUUCACCUGGAAUGGGGCUAAAAAGUCCUUUUCGCGCAACGCCGGCCAUUGGCCCAAUGGCGGCGCGAUGGACUGCUGAGAGUUCCUUCAGCCGAAUAGAGAAAAGGGGGGGAAGAAGGAGUUUGUGAUUUUUUUUGUCAAUUAAAAGAUGAACCGACAGAAUGAAAAGGAAAUAAUUUUUUUUUGUUUUAAA
Molecule: long non-coding RNA, 5130 nt
Filed under: Gossypium barbadense (sea-island cotton)
Lineage: Eukaryota; Viridiplantae; Streptophyta; Magnoliopsida; Malvales; Malvaceae
Description: long non-coding RNA (GBAR_LNC002486)
Source: RNAcentral